UGCCAGCCGCCGCGGUAAUACGAAGGGGGCUAGCGUUGUUCGGAACCACUGGGCGUAAAGCGUAUGUAGGCGGAUCAAAAAGUUAGAUGUGAAAUCCCUGGGCUCAACCCAGGAACUGCAUUUAAAACUAGUGAUCUAGAAUUUGGUAGGGGUUAGUAGAAUUUCCAGUGUAGAGGUGAAAUUCGUAGAUAUUGGAAAGAAUACCAGUGGCGAAAGCGCUCUACUGGACCAUUACUGACACUCAGAGGCGAAAGCUAGGGUAGCAAAAGGGAUUAGAUA
RNAcentral lists this ribosomal RNA (279 nucleotides) under uncultured bacterium. RNAcentral describes it as "partial 16S ribosomal RNA". It matches the Rfam family "Bacterial small subunit ribosomal RNA", at positions 506 to 784 of the family's 1533-position model. The record is from RNAcentral.